GUUGUAUGGUUAAGUGACUAAGCGUACACGGUGGAUGCCUUGGCAGUCAGAGGCGAUGAAAGACGUAGUAACUUGCGAUAAGCCCAGAUUAGGUAGUAACAACCAUUUGAGUCUGGGAUUUCUGAAUGGGGAAACCCACGUGCAUAAGCACGUAUCCUUACCUGAAUACAUAGGGUAAGGAGGCGAACCGGGGGAACUGAAACAUCUAAGUACCCCGAGGAAAAGAAAUCAACCGAGAUUCCGAAAGUAGCGGCGAGCGAAAUUGGACUAGCCCUUAAGCUUUACACGCGUUAGACGAACGGUCUGGAAAGUCCGACGAUACAGGGUGAUAGUCCCGUAGUUGACGACGUGUGUUCAGUGAAAUCGAGUAGGGCGGGACACGUGAUAUCCUGUCUGAAUAUGGGGGGACCAUCCUCCAAGGCUAAAUACUACUGACUGACCGAUAGUGAACCAGUACCGUGAGGGAAAGGCGAAAAGAACCCCUGUGAGGGGAGUGAAAUAGAACCUGAAACCGUGUACGUACAAGCAGUAGGAGCAGGCUUUGUCCUGUGACUGCGUACCUUUUGUAUAAUGGGUCAGCGACUUAUAUUCAGUGGCAAGGUUAACCAUCUAGGGGAGCCGUAGGGAAACCGAGUCUUAACUGGGCGUUCAGUCUCUGGAUAUAGACCCGAAACCAGGUGAUCUAGCCAUGGGCAGGUUGAAGGUUGAGUAACAUCAACUGGAGGACCGAACCGACUAAUGUUGAAAAAUUAGCGGAUGACUUGUGGCUAGGGGUGAAAGGCCAAUCAAACCUGGAGAUAGCUGGUUCUCCCCGAAAGCUAUUUAGGUAGCGCCUCGGACGAAUACUACUGGGGGUAGAGCACUGUUAAGGCUAGGGGGUCAUCCCGACUUACCAACCCUUUGCAAACUCCGAAUACCAGUAAGUACUAUCCGGGAGACACACGGCGGGUGCUAACGUCCGUCGUGGAGAGGGAAACAACCCAGACCGCCAGCUAAGGUCCCAAAUUACUACUAAGUGGGAAACGAUGUGGGAAGGCUCAGACAGCCAGGAUGUUGGCUUAGAAGCAGCCAUCAUUUAAAGAAAGCGUAAUAGCUCACUGGUCGAGUCGGCCUGCGCGGAAGAUGUAACGGGGCUAAGUAGUAAACCGAAGCUGCGGCAAUGUGCUUUUGCACAUUGGGUAGGGGAGCGUUCUGUAAGCGGUUGAAGGUGUGUGGUAACGCAUGCUGGACGUAUCAGAAGUGCGAAUGCUGACAUGAGUAACGAUAAAGGGGGUGAAAAACCUCCUCGCCGGAAGACCAAGGGUUCCUGUCCAACGUUAAUCGGGGCAGGGUAAGUCGACCCCUAAGGCGAGGCCGAAAGGCGUAGUCGAUGGGAAACGGGUUAAUAUUCCCGUACUUCUUACAAUUGCGAUGGGGGGACGGAGAAGGCUAGGUGGGCCUGGCGACGGUUGUCCAGGUUCAAGUGCGUAGGCUUAAGAGUUAGGUAAAUCCGGCUCUUUUUAAGGCUGAGACACGACGUCGAGCACCUACGGGUGUGAAGUCAUUGAUGCCAUGCUUCCAGGAAAAGCCUCUAAGCUUCAGAUUGUAAGGAAUCGUACCCCAAACCGACACAGGUGGUCGGGUAGAGAAUACCAAGGCGCUUGAGAGAACUCGGGUGAAGGAACUAGGCAAAAUGGUACCGUAACUUCGGGAGAAGGUACGCUCUUGACGGUGAAGUCCCUCGCGGAUGGAGCUGACGAGAGUCGCAGAUACCAGGUGGCUGCAACUGUUUAUUAAAAACACAGCACUGUGCAAAAUCGUAAGAUGACGUAUACGGUGUGACGCCUGCCCGGUGCCGGAAGGUUAAUUGAUGGGGUUAGACUUCGGUCGAAGCUCUUGAUCGAAGCCCCGGUAAACGGCGGCCGUAACUAUAACGGUCCUAAGGUAGCGAAAUUCCUUGUCGGGUAAGUUCCGACCUGCACGAAUGGCGUAAUGAUGGCCACGCUGUCUCCACCCGAGACUCAGUGAAAUUGAAAUCGCUGUGAAGAUGCAGUGUACCCGCGGCUAGACGGAAAGACCCCGUGAACCUUUACUACAGCUUGGCACUGAACAUUGACCCUACAUGUGUAGGAUAGGUGGGAGGCUUUGAAGCAGGUACGCCAGUAU
This 2145-nucleotide ribosomal RNA is filed under the name Vibrio parahaemolyticus. RNAcentral describes it as "partial 23S ribosomal RNA". It matches the Rfam family "Bacterial large subunit ribosomal RNA", at positions 1 to 2177 of the family's 2925-position model. The record is from RNAcentral. Lineage: Bacteria; Pseudomonadati; Pseudomonadota; Gammaproteobacteria; Vibrionales; Vibrionaceae.